AGAGUUUGAUCAUGGCUCAGGACGAACGCUGGCGGCGUGCCUAAUACAUGCAAGUCGAGCGGUCCCUUCGGGGAUAGCGGCGGACGGGUGAGUAACACGUAGGCAACCUGCCUGUAAGAUCGGGAUAACUAUCGGAAACGAUAGCUAAGACCGGAUAGCUGGUUCUCUCGCAUGAGGGGAUCAUGAAACACGGAGCAAUC
RNAcentral lists this ribosomal RNA (200 nucleotides) under uncultured bacterium. Its description in RNAcentral is "partial 16S ribosomal RNA". It matches the Rfam family "Bacterial small subunit ribosomal RNA", at positions 8 to 212 of the family's 1533-position model. The record is from RNAcentral.